RNAcentral lists this ribosomal RNA (468 nucleotides) under uncultured bacterium. Its description in RNAcentral is "partial 16S ribosomal RNA". It matches the Rfam family "Bacterial small subunit ribosomal RNA", at positions 28 to 507 of the family's 1533-position model. The record is from RNAcentral.
GACGAACGCUGGCGGCGUGCUUAACACAUGCAAGUCGAACGGAAAGGCCCUGCUUUUGUGGGGUGCUCGAGUGGCGAACGGGUGAGUAACACGUGAGUAACCUGCCCUUGACUUUGGGAUAACUUCAGGAAACUGGGGCUAAUACCGGAUAGGAGCUCCUGCUUCAUGGUGGGGGUUGGAAAGUUUCGGCGGUUGGGGAUGGACUCGCGGCUUAUCAGCUUGUUGGUGGGGUAGUGGCUUACCAAGGCUUUGACGGGUAGCCGGCCUGAGAGGGUGACCGGCCAGAUUGGGACGGAGAUACGGCACAGACUCCUACGGGAGGCAGAAGGGGGGAAUAUUGCACAAUGGGCGGAAGCCUGAUGCAGCAACGCCGCGUGGGGGAUGACGGCUUUCGGGUUGUAAACCGCUUUCGCCUGUGACGAAGGGUGAGUGAGGGUAAUGGGUAAAGAAGCACGGGCUAAGUAGGUG